RNAcentral lists this transfer RNA (68 nucleotides) under Loxodonta africana (African savanna elephant). It matches the Rfam family "tRNA". Rfam says of the family: Transfer RNA (tRNA) molecules are approximately 80 nucleotides in length. Their secondary structure includes four short double-helical elements and three loops (D, anti-codon, and T loops). The record is from Rfam by way of RNAcentral. Lineage: Eukaryota; Metazoa; Chordata; Mammalia; Proboscidea; Elephantidae.
GCGGUGGUUCAGUGGUAGAACUCUCCUCUCCCACGGUGGAAACCUGGAUUCAAUUCCCAGCCAGUGCA